Molecule: long non-coding RNA, 2936 nt
Filed under: Sus scrofa (pig)
Lineage: Eukaryota; Metazoa; Chordata; Mammalia; Artiodactyla; Suidae
Description: lncRNA (ENSSSCG00060055370.1)
Source: RNAcentral
AUAUUAUUUGAAUAAUAGCUAUUACAUCUUAGUAUUCAAAAUAAAUAUGUUAAUAUUCUUGAAUUGCCUACAUUAGAUCUUGGGAGUGCCCAAGUUACUAUAUGGUUUACAUGUACUAGUUACCAGGUGUAACAUCCCUAAAUUUCCACUCUACAUCUUAGCAAUGUGGAAUUAUUCCAGCCCUGUUUCUGUAUAAGUUAUAUUGUAAAGUCUGUGAAUCUGUCAGUCUCACUGAAUAAAGUUAUGAAACCACAGUAAUGAUCAACUAUACUUUGUUGCCAGUUACUUUAUCAUAAUAUACUUUCAAUUUAGAGAAAUGAUAUUGUACACAUCCAAUGCAUUUCCUCUAUAAUAUCCUCUAGCUUCACAGGCACAUGUUUGCACUUUCCUCUUGUUAAAAUUGCAGACAAGAAUAAUUUUGAUUUAUUGGUGACAUCUAAUAUAGCUAUGUUUAUAUUGUUGCCAAUAAAAUGACUUACACAAUUGGUUUUUGUUUAUAUAAUCUUUUCUGAGGAGUCAGUCACCUGUGUUAGGACAAGGUACAUUCUGCUUAUUAAAAUGAACUCUCAGGAUCUAAGAACAUUCAGCUCUAUCUGUCCUUGAUUGAAUUGCAAAAUGUGCUUCACACUGCAGCCGUGCAUGAGAAUAAUUUAUAUUAUCUAUCAAUAGGCUUUCAUUUCUAUAUUCUUCUGGCUACAGAGCUGUAACUAGAGAAACCCCUGGGAAUAGCAUGGGCCUAUUAGCGAUCAAGACAGCCAAUGUUGAAAAGGCAAUGUUAAUUAAAUUAAACAAUCAUUAACCUAAAGGGAAAAAAAUAAAAAGAAUCAAUAAAAACUCUAUUUUAGUUGACUUAUAUAUGUAGGGAGCAAGCCCAACAGCAGUUUGUUUGCUAGACCAGUAUUUUGUGUCUUAUUAUCAGGUUUUCUAUGCAGAGUAAGAAAAGCUUGUGGCUAAGUAAUGGAAAAUGUAACAAAGGCUAAAUGUAGCCUAAGGAAAUGAAAUGAUGUAUGAAAAUUAAUAAUUAACUGGCUCAUCAGAUGAAUUAUAACACUAGAUAGAGUCCAUUAAUAAUAUUUACUAAGGAAAGGCUUUUGGCUCUAAAUAGACAUUAUGGAACUUGUGUUUUUGGAAUUUUCUUGAAUGGAUGAGUUAACAUUGCUUUGUUUAAUCUUUUAAUCCAUGAGGAACAGUGCAUCAAGCUGUGGGUAGAAGGUAGAAUCAUGAUCUUGUACUUUGAUUAAAGUCAUAGUUUUUCCAGAAAUCUAAUAAAAAUCAUUAUUAAGUGAUUUUCUGCCUUGGUUUCCUUAGUUAAGUAAUUUCCUCUCUGACCUGAUGUAGAGGAGUAUGUUUUAAGAGUUUUCAAGUGGUCAAAAGGAAAGCUUUUUAAAAUUCAUGUUGAUUCAUUUAGCAGAACAAGUGAACAUUUUCACUGUUUGAACCAGUGGCGUAUUACAAAUCUAAAUAUAUCAAUAUGCCAGAUUCAGAAAAGUAAUGUUGGAGAACUUGAUUAAGUUUUUAAAUGGAAAGAUGCUCUUCCAGUGGAAUCUUGCCAGCUAAGUUAUGAUACUGAUUAGUUCUGGCAAAGUGAAGGAAAAUUUAACACUAAAAUUCAUUUUUCAAGGUGAGUGUUGUCCUCCAGCACAUUGCUGACUUGAAAGCCUCCUAUUAGCUCUUGCUUUGAUUGAAUUGGCAGAGAUUACUAUUAUUUUUGCUUUCAUUUCUACCCUGUCCCCUUGAUUUAAGGGUCUUAGGUGUAAAAUAUACAUAUUUAUCCUUCAUCAUAGCGAGUAUUUUCCUUUAUCUUCCUUUUCUUAAUUAUCUGGACAGACAAAAUUUCAAAAGAUGAUUGAUUACCACCAAAUUCUUCAUUUUGUGGGUGAAAAACUGUCCAGAGAAGUUAAAAAUUACUUAUGACAAGUAGAACUCAGGUGUCUAACUACUAGUUGAGUACUCUGUUCACUCUGACUCAGUGAGGAUGUGUCUUUCCUAAAAGUUAGGUGUUUAUUCCUUUUUUUUUACUAAGUGGUCUUAGAAUUGUAUGUGAUCAUGUGGCCUGGCCAAAAAGCAUAUACAAUAUUAUAAUAUGAAUAGACAGAACCGACUUUUAUGUGUUGGUAUAUAAUGCUUGAAAAAUCUGUUGGUAUAAUUGAUGCGAGAAGUGGAUUAUUAUAAAUAUUUUCUCUUACAGUUUAUUUUAUUUUUGUCUUGAGGCUGGUUUUUCUCAGCUCACAUGCCAUUGACUUAUUGGUUUUUCUUUAUGGUAUUAACCACUUUACUUUCUGGCCAUUGCUUUUUUAGUAAUAAAAUUUAAGUACAUUUUUGUUUUUGUUAUUUUUACUUUCAACUUAAAUCUAUUUAAAAUAGGAGUAUGGUUUAUAAAAAAUAAAUAUAAAAUAAAUAUCCAGUCUAAGACAGGCAAGUAUGAGUUUGAUACUUUAAGUUCUUAGCACUUUAGUUAUUCGUUCUUACAAACUCGCCUUCUUAAUGAUCUAACCUAAUGCUAAGUACUUACCUAUAUGUUUUUAAUCCAGAUUUUUGAUGAGAAUUCGUGCUUGUAUAUGAUCUUGCUGCCAAAACUGACUCCCUCAUUUUUAAAAACCUUGAAAUGUGCAUAGUCUGCAAAUUUGCAGACGCUUGUCACUUGGACCGUGGUCUUAGUGAGUCAUAUUUCCAGUCAUGUUGGAUAAUUCCUCUUUUUCAACAAAUUGCCAAUACAACGUGUUUAUUUUGCCUUUUUGAGGAGGUUGGUACUGAAUAAGGGCUUUCUUCUGUAGGGUUCCAAGUGCCUCACAAAAUACUGUUUUAUCAAUGAGUGAAUAAUAAAUGGCUAAUAUUUCCUGGCAAAGUACAGAGACAUUAAAAUGACUUGCCCACAAUCAACCUGUGAAUCAUUAGACUAGCUGGUAAUAUACUUGAAUUCUUUUAAACGGACACAG